UUUUUGGGUCCACAUUUAGUCCUCCGUGUUUGAAAUUCGAAGAAAUUUCAUCCAAAAACAGAAAUGAGGGGAAAAUCGUUCAUGUGUCAAUGAUUUUCUCUCCCCUUAUUCCCCACCUUUUUCUCAGACACCGGCAUCAUUUUCUCAAGCACCAUGUGUGCGUUCACCCUGCACACCAAGUACAUCCGCUAAGCAAGGGCGCGACCGCAGCUGGC
This 215-nucleotide long non-coding RNA is filed under the name Hordeum vulgare. RNAcentral describes it as "long non-coding RNA (HVUL_LNC000614)". Lineage: Eukaryota; Viridiplantae; Streptophyta; Magnoliopsida; Poales; Poaceae. The record is from RNAcentral.